Molecule: long non-coding RNA, 218 nt
Filed under: Capsicum annuum
Lineage: Eukaryota; Viridiplantae; Streptophyta; Magnoliopsida; Solanales; Solanaceae
Description: long non-coding RNA (CANN_LNC012865)
Source: RNAcentral
GAUCCAACAACACAUACACAUCAAGAAAAAAAACACAGAGCAUACCAGUAACAACAUCAGGGGAGUCCUCCUUCUCUAGAUGGGAUAGCAAAGCAUAGAACCUAUUCUGGCACUGACCACUAAUGGUGCUAGAAGAAGCACCCUAAGUAGGGGCGGGAUGAAGUAUUGAAGUUGGUGCACUAGCAACCUGUGCCUGAGGUCGGGCAUCUCUGUUCCCC